GGCACUAUAGCCAAGUGGUUACGGCGACAGAUUCGAAUUUUGUAUUCGAAACUAUCUGUUCCCCUCUGGGGUCGCAGGUUCGAAUCCUGCUGGUGUCG
Abortiporus biennis is the source of this 98-nucleotide non-coding RNA. The record is from the annotation of a GenBank genome assembly. NCBI's taxonomy places the organism in Eukaryota, Fungi, Basidiomycota, Agaricomycetes, Polyporales, Podoscyphaceae.